Molecule: ribosomal RNA, 253 nt
Filed under: uncultured bacterium
Lineage: Bacteria
Description: partial 16S ribosomal RNA
Rfam family: Bacterial small subunit ribosomal RNA
Source: RNAcentral
UACGUAGGGUGCGAGCGUUAUUCGGAAUUACUGGGCGUAAAGCGUGCGCAGGCGGUUUUGUAAGUCCGAUGUGAAAUCCCCGGGCUUAACCUGGGAAUGGCAUUUGGGACUGCAAGGCUGGAGUGUGGCAGAGGAGACUGGAAUUCCCGGUGUAGCAGUGAAAUGCGUAGAUAUCGGGAGGAAUACCGAUGGCGAAGGCAGGUCUCUGGGCUGACACUGACGCUCAUGCACGAAAGCGUGGGGAGCAAACAGG